Molecule: ribosomal RNA, 253 nt
Filed under: uncultured bacterium
Lineage: Bacteria
Description: partial 16S ribosomal RNA
Rfam family: Bacterial small subunit ribosomal RNA
Source: RNAcentral
UACGUAGGGGGCAAGCGUUGUCCGGAAUCAUUGGGCGUAAAGGGCGCGUAGGCGGCUCGGUAAGUAGGGGGUGAAAUCCUGCGGCUCAACCGCAGGGCUGCCUUCUAAACUGUCGAGCUCGAGCACGGUAGAGGCAGAUGGAAUUCCCGGUGUAGCGGUGGAAUGCGUAGAGAUCGGGAAGAACAUCAGUGGCGAAGGCGGUCUGCUGGGCCGUUGCUGACGCUGAGGCGCGACAGCGUGGGGAGCAAACAGG